GACUAUAAAAGCCAUUGAAGACUAUGUUAGAGGGGAGGUUUUUUUGUUUUUUGGAGGUGUUUUUUUGUUUGUUUGGAAAGAAGGUUGUUUUUGUUUCUUGGAAAGGCUAGUUUUUGGAGAUUAAUUAAAGAUCAAAGCAAAAGAGGUUUCUUUUGUCUAUUCUCAUCUUUAGUUCUUUGUUUGUUUAUUGUUUUCCUUUCAAUUUUAUUUUGUUUUUUUUUAUACGAAAGUAAAAAUAAAAGUAAGAAGCUUACCCAUAUUUUCAUUACCGAAAAAGGUUUUUUUUUUAGGUCCGGCCGCCGUGUACGGUGGCGCCAAUGGCGGCCCGUGGGGGUCCAUGACCGAAGCAAAGCCGGACCAACGGCCGGAUUUAGAAAAGAAGGAGAAAGAGAAUUGAGAGCUUUGUUUUAUUAUUUUAUUAUUUUUACUAUUAUUUAUAUUAUUAUUAUUAUUUCUCAUGUAUAUAUUAUUAUUUAUAUUAUUAUUAUAUUAUAUAUGCCCUCUCCAUAUUUAUUUAUAUUAUUACUAUCAUUAUUGUUACUUUUAUUAUUUUUUAUUUCUAACUACUAUUAUUAUAUAUAUAUGUAUUAUUGUUUGUAUUAUUAUUAUUAUUAUCACCCCUAUUGUUAUUACUUUACUUUUGUAUUCUAAUAUAUUAUUAAUAUUACUCAUAUUUUCAUUAUUUUUGCUAUCACUAUUAUUAUUAUAUAUUAGUGUAUAUUUUUAUGUAUAUACAUAUAUAUAUUUAUAUAUAGUAUUGUUUUUUAUUACUUUAAUUUAAUAUUUUUAUUAUAUUUGCUUUUUGUAUUUCUAUAUUUAUUAUUAUAUAGUAGUGUGUAUUUCUAUUAUAUACAUAUAUAUAUAUUUAUAUAUAGUAUUAUUGUUCACUUUACUUUAAUAUUAUUCUUAUUAUCAUUAUAUCCAACCCAAUAAUAAUUCUUUCAUAAAAGUAAUAUUCCGUAUUUGGUAAUUCGAGACAAUCGUGCCCUAACUUAUUGGGUUUCGAUUUUUCUCCUUUAACCUAAAUAACGGAAUACUCUUUUAAAUCGCGACAUGAGUUUUGAAAAAUGCUUAUUCUCGGAGAUACAAGGUGUUGUGCCCUAACUUACUGGGUAUGGCAUUUUGUUACCUCGAAAUAAGAUUUUUGCAAGUAAAGGCAAUAUUCGGUGUUUGGGAAUUCGAGGAAACGUGCCCUAACUUACUGGGUUUCGAUUUUCCUCGUUCACCUUAACUAACUGAAUAACCUUUUGAAAUACAUGAAUUUUUAUAUAAAAGGCAAGCUCGCUCUCGAAAAUUCAAGAUGUCGUGUCCUAACUUACUGGAUGUGACAUUUUAUAUUGUGAGACGAGAAGGUCCUUAACAUUUGAGCAUUUUCUUUACAAAGAGGGAUCGUAUUUUAAAUUCUUUCAAGUUUUCAAAUUUUCGACACUAAGACACUAAUUAAUCAACUAGGUACCAAUUUUGGGCGUAUCGAGGGUACUAAUCCUUCCUCGUGCGUAACCGACUCCCGAACUCAUUUUCUGAUUUUCGUAGACCAAAAAUUAUCGUUUUAGUAAAUCUUAACUUUUAUUAAAAUGAUUAACUUAAGGUGAUCCGAUCACACCUAAAAAAAUUGGUGGCGACUCCUGUUUUCGUUUUUUUUUCUCCAAGUCGAUACCCGUUUUUUUUUUUAAAAAUGGUUACGACAGCUUGGCGACUCCACUGGGGACUUUUAUAAGAGAGUCAAGCCACAAGUUGAUUAACUUUUGUCUUUUUUCGAAAAUUGAAAAUUUGGUUUUGAUAUACGAUCACUUCAUUGCGUUUCACCCGUUUUUCGUACUGUUUUCAUCAUUUUAUUCCUAUUUUCUUUAAUCGUUUCAAGUUUUUAUGCAUAUAUCUUCUCGCAUUGCAUUGCAUGACCAUUGUGGUCACACCCUUAAGUGGGAGUGAGAAACUACGCCUUCGUGAGGUUUUCACCUCCGUGCAGGAUAGUGGAUCACUUUCGGAAUACAUCCGUACCUAUGGUUUCGUGAGAUUUUCAUCUCCGUGUAGCCAUAGGGAAAUGUAUUCUCCUAAAUUGAACUCGAUUCAAAUGAGCCUAUAAUGGGUGAGGAUCGAGGAAUCUGUUGGUUCAGAUACCCUUACUCUAGAACCAAACCACAUAUAGAGAGACCUAGGAGCCCACCCUAGGUAGAGCCACUCCGAACCCCUAGUGGUCACCCGAAUUGCUUUAUUUGUUAUUUAUUUAUCUUGCACUAACGUGUUUUAUUUUUGUUUUGUUUAUAAUUGCAUUACAUUACAUCAUCCUAGGAAGGAGGUGUUGAUUCAUAUUUGAUUGCUAAAUAGAACAGUUUGUCAUAAGAAAAAGAAUUUUUUGAUAAAGUGGAUUAUAAUACGGUUGUCUAAAUAUGAUCCAAGUGAACACAUGAAAGAAGACUGAUAGCCCGUGAAGAAAUACAAGACUUUGCUUCAUUGCCUGAAGACAGAAACUGACAAAGAUUAUUCGAGAGCCGUCAUAUCUUGACCUUCUUAAAGGAGCUGACAAGUAUCACAGUAAUAAGUGAGCAAUGAGUCGCAGCCUGGAUCGAGCAAAAAAGGAGUUAAUAUAGACAUCUCUUGGAGAAUUCGUCAGACUCGACCACAAGAUCCGGAUAUGAAGAGGAAGAUAGGUGUCUUCACUUGGAAUACAAGAGAAAAGCCGUAUAUGUAGUCCGUUUUAUGUAAAAGAAUUUGCCUUCUAGAAAAGUUGUUCUAAUGAAAUUAAAUUUAGAAUCAAUGCCUUCCUUUUUUUUUUGCGUUCAUGCAUUUGCAUUACAUUACAUCAAAAAAGAAUGUGUUGAUUCGAAAUUCAAUUCCUAAAUAGAAUAGUUUGUCAUAAGGAAACGAAUUUCUUGAUAAAGUAGAUUAUAGUGCGAUCGCCUGAAUAUAGUCCAAGUAAACACGAUGAGAGAAAGCUGGUAGUUCACGGAGGAAUACAUAAUGUAAUUGCCAGAGAUUCAAGCCAACAAAGGCAUGACGAGAGAAAGCCGGAAGUCCACGAAGGAAUACAUGACUUGAUUUAAUUGCCAACGAAGAUUAUUCAAGAGCCGGCACUUUUGAUGAGUAUCAUGGAGAUAAGUGAGCAAGAGAUCGAGGCUCAGAUUAAGCAGCAAGGAACUAGUAAAGGCAUCUUUUAGAGAAUUUACAAGAUUCGACCAUGAAGAAAAGAUCAGCGUUUACUUGGGAUAUGAAGGGCAAUACCGCAUAUGUAAUCUAUUUUCAUGUAAAGAAAUAUGUUUUCUAGAAAAGUUAUUCUAAUGGAAUUGAAUUCAAGAUCAACAUCUUCCUUUCUUUUACAUUCAUUCCAUACAUUUGCAUUACAUUGCAACAUUUGCAUUAAACUUUCAUUAAAGAACCCUGAUUAAACAAAAUUAUUUCAGUUAAUCUGGAAACCAACGAGAAUCAAGCAACCGACUUUCAUUAAAGAACCCUGAUUAAACAAAAUUAUUUCAGUUAAUCUGGAAACCAACGAGAAUCAAGCAACCGAACACAGCCACUAUACCCGCCGUAAAACCAAAGCAAUAGACCAGAUAUUAGAAAGGAUAGAACAAAUGCAAAGGGAGAUGCAAGAACAAUUACAAGAGCAGAUGCAAGAGCAACUGGCUAAGAUACAGCAAGAUAUGAGGGACCAUAUGUUGGAGUCCCAGAAAAGCAUGAUGGAUCAAUUAACUCGUCUAUUGGCUGGCGGAUUAGAAAAGGGGAAAAGCCCUUUGAUCAAUGCGAGAGAAGAUAAUGAAGAUCCUACCUACCCUCCGGGUUUUACCCCACCUCAUGUGCCCCUGCAAACCGAGGCACCUCCUAGAAGGCCAUCUGUCACAGUAAGGUCUCAACAUGGGCCAGUGGAUGCUGGAAUCCCCAUAAAUUUCCCAUCUGGGUUGGGAAAUAAUUUGGGUGAUAGCUCGGUCAACCCUAUUACUCCUGAUCUGGAUUUAAUGGAGAAUGAAAGAAUGGCCACUGAAUCCUUGAAACAAUUAGAAGAUCGUUGCAGGUGGUUAGAGAAGAAGUUUAGGGUUUUAGAAGGCGCUGGCAAUCAUCAGGGGAUCGAUGCUAAAGACUUAAGUUAGGUUCCAGAUUUGGUGGUUCCUCAUAAAUUUAAGAUGCCAGAGUUUGAAAAGUACAACGGGACUACUUGCCCAGAGGCGCACAUAACAAUGUUUUGUAGAAAAAUGACUGGCUAUGUGAACAACGAUCAACUAUUGAUCCAUUGUUUUCAAGACAGCCUAAUUGGAGCAGCGGCUAGGUGGUACAAUCAGUUGAACCGUGCAAAGAUCGGUUCAUGGAGAGAUCUUGCACAGGCUUUCAUGCAACAGUAUAACCAUGUGACUGAUAUGACGCCAGAUAGGAUCACACUACAAAACAUGGAAAAGAAGCCGAAUGAGAGUUUCAGGCAGUAUGCACAACGGUGGAGGGAAAUAGCGAUGCAAGUCCAGCCACUUCUUUUGGAGAAGGAAACGACCAUGCUCUUCAUUAAUACUUUGAAGGCCCCAUUCAUCACCCAUAUGAUUGGGAAUACUACCAAAAGUUUUUCUGAUAUGGUAAUGGCAGGCGAGAUGAUUGAGAAUGCCAUAAGAGGUGGCAAGAUUGAAGUUGGAGAAACUACCAAGAGGUCAGUUCCAAAGAAAAAGGAGAAUGAAGUGAACAGUAUGAGCUCAUACAAUAGAGAUCACUCAAGGUCAAUAACUGUCAAUUAACCAAAGGUGACUGCGAGGGGGCAACAAGGUUCGACAAAGCAGGAAUCAAGUGUAAGGCAAAAUUUUGAAAAGCUCCAAUUUACGCCAAUCCCAAUGUCAUAUAAGGAGUUAUAUCAAAGUUUAUUUGAUUCACACGUGGUGUCCCCAUAUUAUAUAAAUCUGUUGCAACCCCCAUACCCCAAAUGGUAUGAUUCAAACGCUCAAUGUGAUUAUCAUGUGGGAGUAUCGGGGCAUUCAAUAGAAAACUGUACUGCCUUCAAGAAGACGGUUGAAAGACUCCUCGAGAUGGGGAUUGUGAAGUUUGAUGAUACCCCUAGUACAAAGAGUCCGUUACCAAAUCACGAUGAUAAGAGCAAAUGAUUAAAGGACUCUGUCAAAGAUGGAAAAAUAAGAAGAGGAUUAGUAGCAUCGGAUCCUGAGUAGAGAAACUUGUGAGGCAUUCGUCCUUACAAACCUGGAAAUGUUUUGAAUGAUUAGUCUGUAGAGGAACCUCUUGUAGUUUUUAGAGCUAAUCUAGAGUAAUAUUCAAAACAUGCUUGUUGCUUUAAGCCUGGAAGCAAUUAAACCCCUUUUGUGAAAUAGGCUUGUAUUCUAAGUCUUUAUUUCAAUAAAAUGCAUCUUUUUGAGAAAAUAUUCUUUGAUUUCAUCUCAUACGGUACAAAUAAUUAUUCUUAGAUUCUUUUUUUCUUUAGAAUUUAUUUCAAAUAUUCAUUUAUUCUUCAUUCAUGAUCAUAAUCAUCCUUAAAAUCAUUUAUUUCUUUGGAAUCUGCCUUCAGCGGGUCCCUAGAUAUCAAUGAUAUGAGUAACGCUGUCAUUGACUCCGAGUCUCCUUUUGAGCGAAAUAUGGGCCUAAAGGGAUCUCAACACUCUGAAGAUGAUAGAGAUGUAGACUACUCUCUAAUUUGUUAAUGAUGGUAGAGUAAGAUGAAAACAGAUCCUCUUUUACAAAAAGACAGUAGACAGUAGGCCUAGGACAAGAGAAAGAGGCAAAUAUCGGAGUCUGCAUUACCACAAAGGCAAAGCGAGACAUCAUUGAGUCACUUCCUAGAAUUUAAAGAUUUUUUGCACGAUCAUAUCAAGAUACGCCUGGCUACUAAGACAGGAGGAUGUUGCAGGGUUUUGAAUGACAUAUGCUAAUGGUUUCACGAUGGCCAGGCUAAUCAUGAGAUUUGGGUUCUGCUGGCCCACCAUAGAAAGGGAUUGCAUCAGUAUGCUGUAAAUGCCAAAUUUAUAGAGAGAAAAUUCAUGUGCCCCUUCAUGUGGGGCAUGGAGGUUAUGAGCCGGUCUCUUUGAAAGCUUCUACCAAUACCGAUUCGCCUUUGGGGUCAUCGUUUACCCCGAGAAAAGGAUAAAAGUUGUUUCAUAUGCCAAUGUCACUAGGUCGACAGUCAUCAAAUUUCAAAAAAAUUGGUGCCAAUAAAGAGUGCCAGAAAAUCAUGUCUAACACAGCUGUACAAUGUCAAAAGGUCACAGUCUGUUUAAAGAUUAGGAGUUAUAUGGAAAAGGCAAAGGCAAAGGCAAAGGCAAAAAAAAAUAAAAAAACACGAAAACACAAAAAAAGCAAAAAAAUUCUAAAAAAAAGAAGCGGAAAAAAAAGAGAAGCCAGGGCGAAACCCCGCAAAUGGAGCCUUGAGACUAAAAGGGAUUCGAGUUGAAAACCCGAAAAGGGCAGCUCAAAUUUGGAUCAAAGUGGGGCAUACAUUAGUCUUGCUAUGCCUGAAUUAACAAUGAAGAAGUAUGCUACGUCUUGGGGCAUCGACAAAGUACUCCGGAUCCCCUAAACACAUAUUAAACUCAGAAAGGUCCUCAAUAAGUUGGUACAGAGAAGCUCAGGCUGCGAUAUCUGGGGCAUCUAUCUUCCAUUUUGCCCAUUUUGAAUUUGUUAUCUUUGAUUCUUCUCAAGAUAUGUCCAAAUAAAUUUUCUUCUUAUUGCAUUGCUAUCUUUGAUUAAAUCAUUCGUUUUGAGUUGAUUUCAUUCUUAUUGCAUUUGCAAUCUUUGAUUAAUUUAUCCAUUUCGAGCUAUGCUCAUAAUCAAUUUCCUUCUUGUUAAUUGUUUUGAUCUUUUUCAAGCAUUUUGCAUUGAAAUAAUGAUUAAUGGACUAAUAACACUUUCACAAAAGAAGUUUUGCUUAUUACUCUAGAAGUUUCUAAAUAAUACAAGAACCUGAAACAGGAUUAUUGUUUAGAACUCGCCAAGCCUAAGGGUUGGAAAUAUUAUCUCUUUGGACUCUUUAUUAGUUGAACCAAAAGACAAGACAUUUCGUCAGUGAUAUAACCUCGACAAAUGACAAGUAAUGUCAACCUAAGUGUAAAAGAAGGUCAUUCUCGAGAAAAGAAAUGAUACUUUGCAUUCAUAUACAUCUGGUCAUUACAUCCAGGGAAUAGUGUAACAGAUCAAACUGAUUGAAGAUGAUACAAAUCCUAUGCCUUUGAGUUGCAGCGGAAUAGAUGGAAGAAACCAAAUGUUAUUCCUCUGAAAUUACAAUAGGAGGCACAAACUUUAUGUCCCAAAAGGUACAGUGAAAGAGACUCUGAAAUUACAGCAGGGCGAGCUUGCUGAGCAAAAUGUGAUUGUUUCCUUGACUUUUCUGUCAAGAAUACUAGCCGAACAAGAUGCCAGCGUAAUACGUCAGCGAUAAUGUCCUAAUGAACAACGAACGAUGAUACCUUAAGCCUUUUUAAAAAAAAAGGCUCAUAACAUUUCUACAGUAACGCAUCUAGUUAGGAGCAUUUGAUUCAUUUCAUAACAUCCUAAUUAUUUGACAUAAAGCAUCACAUUUAGUUAGGAGCAUUUGAUUCAUUUCGAUCAUAGCAUCCUAAUCAUUUGACAUAAGCAUAGAUACAUGGAACUGAUUCUACAGGUGAUGUCCCUAGAAUCAGUAAAUUCACAAGCCUUAAACCCCUAAGCAGUAGGGUAACAGGCUGAAUUUAUAGAUCUUAACCCCUUAAGCAGUUGGGAAAUAGAUCGAAGAUGAUGGGCCUUAAACCCCUAAGUAGUAGGGUAACAGGUUGGAAAUUACAAAUUUUUUUUCCCUGAAAUGACAUUGGAGCGGCUAAAAGCCACAGCAGAUCUCCUUGAAGUUUCAGAGGAUUUUUUCUUCCUGAAAUGGCAUUGGAGCGGCUAAAAGCCACAACAGAUCUCCUUGAAGUUUCAGCAAACCUCUUCUUCCAAAAAUGGCAUUGGAGCGACUAAAAGCCACAGCAGAUCUCCUUGAAGUUCCAGUGGAAGAAGAUCAAAACAAGUCUUAUCUCCCUGAAGUUACAGAGGAACAGACUGAAGAUAGCAGAUCUGACAUUUCUGUGCUUACAGUGAAGCAGAUCGAAGAUUUCAGCAUGGCAUCCCUGUGCUUAUAGGGAACAAGUUGAAAACAGCAGAUUUGGCAUCCCUGUGCUUAUAGGGAACAAGUUGAAGACAGCAGAUUUGACAUCCUUGUGCUUAUAGGGAACAGAUCGAAGAUAGCAGAUCUGACAUUCCUGUGCUUACAGUGAAGCAGAUCGAAGAUUUCAACAUGGCAUCCCUGUGCUUAUAGGGAACAAGUUGAAAACAGCAGAUUUGGCAUCCCUGUGCUUAUAGGGAACAGAUCGAAGAUAGCAGAUCUGACAUUCCUGUGCUUACGAUGAAGCAGAUCGAAGAUUUCAGCAUGGAAUCCCUGUGCUUAUAGGGAACAAGUUGAAGAUAGCAGAUUUGGCAUCCCUGUGCUUAUAGGGAACAAGUUGAAAAUAGCAGAUUUGGCAUCCCUGUACUUAUAGGGAAUAGAUCGAAGAUAGCAGAUCUGACAUUCCUGUGCUUACGGUGAAGCAGAUCGAAGAUUUCAGCAUGGAAUCCCUGUGCUUAUAGGGAACGAAUCGAAGAUAGCAGAUCUGACAUUCCUGUACUUACGGUGAAGCAGAUCGAAGAUUUCAGCAUGGAAUCCCUGUGCUUAUAGGGAACGGAUCGAAGAUAGCAGAUCUGACAUUCCUGUGCUUACGGUGAAGCAGAUCGAAGAUUUCAGCAUGGAAUCCCUGUGCUUAUAGGGAACAAGUUGAAGAUAGCAGAUUUGGCAUCCCUGUGUUUAUAGGGAACCAGUUGAAGACAUCAGAUUUGGCAUCCCUGUGUUUAUGGGGAACAAAUCGAAGAAGCAGAUCAAGAACUCAAGACUAGGCGAGACCGGGCAAAUUUGGUCCUUUUUAUAGUCUUUGCUCCAUUCUCGUUACACGACAAUGAGCAAAGAGGGGCAGCUGUAAGGCCCAAAUUUUGCCCGGGGCCCAAUAAAACCAAACCCAAAUUAAACCUAGCCCAUUACCCAGUUACAAGCCCAAACCCAAUUUUGGCCCAACCUAAUCCCAUUAUACUAGCCCAACCCAAACACAAAAUAAAUAAAUAAAUAAAUAAAUAACCUUGGCCACCUACUCCACCACCCUUUUUGGCCACCCACCUUGGCCACCUACUCCACCACCCUUGUUGGCCACCCACCUUGGCCACCUAAACGACCCCAACCACUCCACUUGCUUACAAAAAAUUUAUUUGUAAAAUUUGGCUAUAAAAGCCAUUGAAGACUAUGUUAGAGGGGAGGUUUUUUUUGUUUUUUGGAGGUGUUUUUUUGUUUUUUUGGAAAGAAGGUUGUUUUUGUUUCUUGGAAAGGCUAGUUUUUGGAGAUUAAUCAAAGAUCAAAGCAAAAGAGGUUUCUUUUGUCUAUUCUCAUCUUUAGUUCUUUGUUUGUUUAUUGUUUUCCUUUCAAUUUUAUUUUGUUUUUUUAUACGAAAGUAAAAAUAAAAGUAAGAAGCUUACCCAUAUUUUCAUUACCGAAAAAGGUUUUUUUUAUGUCCGG
This 9517-nucleotide long non-coding RNA is filed under the name Gossypium barbadense (sea-island cotton). RNAcentral describes it as "long non-coding RNA (GBAR_LNC000789)". The record is from RNAcentral. Lineage: Eukaryota; Viridiplantae; Streptophyta; Magnoliopsida; Malvales; Malvaceae.